Molecule: long non-coding RNA, 237 nt
Filed under: Manihot esculenta (cassava)
Lineage: Eukaryota; Viridiplantae; Streptophyta; Magnoliopsida; Malpighiales; Euphorbiaceae
Description: long non-coding RNA (MESC_LNC010308)
Source: RNAcentral
AGUUGUCUUGUGGUUUUGGGAACAUAUUGACAAAAGGUAGAAGACUUGUCAAAUUUGAGACUUUCUUUUUCUCUCCCAUGCUUUCCAUGUAUUGUCUAGAUUUUUCUGAUGGAUUUUUCAAUGUCGAUUGCCUUUUCUCAUUACAAAUUUAAUUUUCAGGCUUAAACAAGUGGCUUCUGUAAAUCAUAAAGAAUGCCAAAGAAAGAAGUUCAAAUCAAACACUCAAUCUAGUAUUCA